This is a non-coding RNA of Podarcis lilfordi (Lilford's wall lizard), 69 nucleotides long. The record is from the annotation of a GenBank genome assembly. NCBI's taxonomy places the organism in Eukaryota, Metazoa, Chordata, Lepidosauria, Squamata, Lacertidae.
GCAGUAGCUUAGUGGUAGAGAAUCUGUUUUGCAUGCAGACGCUCCCAGGUUCAAUCCCUGCCAUCAUCA